This 103-nucleotide microRNA precursor is filed under the name Marmota monax (woodchuck). The record is from RNAcentral. Lineage: Eukaryota; Metazoa; Chordata; Mammalia; Rodentia; Sciuridae.
AAUGGAAUUGCUGGAUCACAUGGUAAUUCUAUGUUUAAGUUUGUGAGGAAUUAACAAAUUAUUUUCCAUAGGAGUUGCACCAUUUUACAUUCCCACCAACAGC